GAACCGCAUGGUUCAAAAGUGAAAGACGGUCUUGCUGUCACUUAUAGAUGGAUUCGCGCUGCAUUAGCUAGUUGGUAAGGUAACGGCUUACCAAGGCAACGAUGCAUAGCCGACCUGAGAGGGUGAUCGGCCACACUGGAACUGAGACACGGUCCAGACUCCUACGGGAGGCAGCAGUAGGGAAUCUUCCGCAAUGGGCGAAAGCCUGACGGAGCAACGCCGCGUGAGUGAUGAAGGUCUUCGGAUCGUAAAACUCUGUUAUUAGGGAAGAACAUAUGUGUAAGUAACUGUGCACAUCUUGACGGUACCUAAUCAGAAAGCCACGGCUAACUACGUGCCAGCAGCCGCGGUAAUACGUAGGUGGCAAGCGUUAUCCGGAAUUAUUGGGCGUAAAGCGCGCGUAGGCGGUUUUUUAAGUCUGAUGUGAAAGCCCACGGCUCAACCGUGGAGGGUCAUUGGAAACUGGAAAACUUGAGUGCAGAAGAGGAAAGUGGAAUUCCAUGUGUAGCGGUGAAAUGCGCAGAGAUAUGGAGGAACACCAGUGGCGAAGGCGACUUUCUGGUCUGUAACUGACGCUGAUGUGCGAAAGCGUGGGGAUCAAACAGGAUUAGAUACCCUGGUAGUCCACGCCGUAAACGAUGAGUGCUAAGUGUUAGGGGGUUUCCGCCCCUUAGUGCUGCAGCUAACGCAUUAAGCACUCCGCCUGGGGAGUACGACCGCAA
RNAcentral lists this ribosomal RNA (722 nucleotides) under Staphylococcus aureus. Its description in RNAcentral is "bacterial SSU rRNA". It matches the Rfam family "Bacterial small subunit ribosomal RNA", at positions 183 to 891 of the family's 1533-position model. Lineage: Bacteria; Bacillati; Bacillota; Bacilli; Caryophanales; Staphylococcaceae. The record is from RNAcentral.